AGAGGUUUUUGGGUAAUCCCUGAGUGGAAAAACACUGAGGAAGCAGCAUGUCUCACAAGCGCUGGGAAGAAGUGAGAUAAGGGAGAGGCUGCAUUCCUGGCAUAGUACCAGAUGUGCUGUGUUAGGAGCAGAUCCUUCGAAGAACUGA
Chelonoidis abingdonii (Abingdon island giant tortoise) is the source of this 148-nucleotide non-coding RNA. The record is from RefSeq and is a predicted model, not a curated record. NCBI's taxonomy places the organism in Eukaryota, Metazoa, Chordata, Testudines, Testudinidae.